GCGAGGCGAAGCCGCGAGGCGGAGCGAAUCGCUAAAAGCCGUCCCAGUUCGGAUUGCAGGCUGCAACCCGCCUGCAUGAAGUUGGAAUCGCUAGUAAUCGCGGAUCAGCAUGCCGCGGUGAAUACGUUCCCGGGCCUUGUACACACCGCCCGUCACACCAUGAGAGUCGGGAACACCCGAAGUCCGUAGCCUGACCGCAAGGGGGGCGCGGCCGAAGGUGGGUUCGAUAAUUGGGGUGAAGUCGUAACAAGGUAUC
This 256-nucleotide ribosomal RNA is filed under the name uncultured bacterium. RNAcentral describes it as "partial 16S ribosomal RNA". It matches the Rfam family "Bacterial small subunit ribosomal RNA", at positions 1244 to 1500 of the family's 1533-position model. The record is from RNAcentral.